Molecule: ribosomal RNA, 404 nt
Filed under: Verrucomicrobiota bacterium
Lineage: Bacteria; Pseudomonadati; Verrucomicrobiota
Description: Verrucomicrobia bacterium partial 16S ribosomal RNA
Rfam family: Bacterial small subunit ribosomal RNA
Source: RNAcentral
UGGGGAAUAUUGCACAAUGGGCGCAAGCCUGAUGCAGCAACGCCGCGUGAACGAAGAAGGCUUUCGAGUCGUAAAGUUCUUUUAUAUGGGAAGAUAAUGACGGUACCAUAAGAAAAAGCCCCGGCUAACUACGUGCCAGCAGCCGCGGUAAUACGUAGGUGGCAAGCGUUGUCCGGAAUUAUUGGGCGUAAAGCGCGCGCAGGUGGUUUAGAAAGUCUGAUGUGAAAGCCCACGGCUCAACCGUGGAGGGUCAUUGGAAACUAAUAAACUUGAGUGCAGGAGAGAAAAGUGGAAUUCCUAGUGUAGCGGUGAAAUGCGUAGAGAUUAGGAGGAACACCGGUGGCGAAAGCGGCUUUUUGGCCUGCAACUGACACUGAGGCGCGAAAGCGUGGGGAGCAAACAGG